RNAcentral lists this ribosomal RNA (305 nucleotides) under uncultured bacterium. Its description in RNAcentral is "bacterial SSU rRNA". It matches the Rfam family "Bacterial small subunit ribosomal RNA", at positions 777 to 1080 of the family's 1533-position model. The record is from RNAcentral.
AUUAGAUACCCUGGUAGUCCAUGCCGUAAACGAUGAGUGCUAGGUGUUGGAGGGUUUCCGCCCUUCAGUGCCGGAGCUAACGCAUUAAGCACUCCGCCUGGGGAGUACGACCGCAAGGUUGAAACUCAAAGGAAUUGACGGGGGCCCGCACAAGCGGUGGAGCAUGUGGUUUAAUUCGAAGCUACGCGAAGAACCUUACCAGGUCUUGACAUCUUGCGCUAACCUUAGAGAUAAGGCGUUCCCUUCGGGGACGCAAUGACAGGUGGUGCAUGGUCGUCGUCAGCUCGUGUCGUGAGAUGUUGGGU